Molecule: long non-coding RNA, 11444 nt
Organism: Hypanus sabinus (Atlantic stingray)
Lineage: Eukaryota; Metazoa; Chordata; Chondrichthyes; Myliobatiformes; Dasyatidae
Exons: 3
Source: RefSeq, a predicted model, not a curated record
UCUGUAGUGUUAUAAUGAAAUGGCUUGUCUGUAUGUUAACUGAGGAAGUAAUGCUCUGUUUAGCUGAAAUGUUUGGGUUAUAAUUAUACAUAAUGGAGGAGCUAACCAAUGGGAGCUACGUUAUUCUACCUGUAUAUGUGGGAACCUAAAUCAGUUCGCGGGCUUUUCAGGACGAGAACCGAAGAGGAAGGGCAUGCUGAUCGUGCCCUGGUCGACCACUGUGGUUGGUCCCAGGCAGCGGGUCGAGGACAUCGGAGGAGAUUGAAAGGUGGAAAGAAGACUCUGUUCAACUCCAAUGGUUGUGCAUGAAUUUGUUGAACUCUGGAGUGAAGAAAGGUGCCGCCAGCAAAAACAAAACGAACUACUGCAGUAAGUCGAGAAGUCUGUGGAAGCAACCCACGCGAAUGGAAAGCACAGCCAGGACACCAGAAAGAGGUCAUUCAAUUGAAAGCACCAUGACACUGAGCUGGAAAGGAAUGAGAAGAAUAAACUGUAGCGACACAAAUUGCCGAAGGAACUCAGCAGGCCAGGCAGCAUCAAUGGAAAAGAAUAAACAGUUGAUGUUUCCAGUCGAGACCCUUCCAGCAUCUGCAAAUUUUCUCAUAUUUGAGAAUAAAGUGUAGCAUUAGAGGUGUGUCACCAGGUGAACCGCAAAUAGUAUGCGGCACAAAAGGCAGAUAAAAGUAAAAUCUAAUACCACAGGAGUAUGGCUCAGCAGAAGCCUCUCAAUCAGUCAUACAAAAGUACAGCACAGAAACAGGGCCUUCAGCCAAUCUAGUUCAUGCAGAAUCAUUUAAACUGUCUACUCCCAUCGAUCUGCACCCGAGCCAUUACCCACCAUCCCCCUACCAUGUACAAAUUCAACCUUUUCUUAAAAGCUGAAAUUGAACUCACAUGCUCCACUUGCACGGACAGCUCGUUCCACAUUCCCAUGAUCCUCUGAGUCGUUUCUCCUUAAGUUCCCUGUAAACUUCUCACCUUUCACCCUUAACCCAUGACCUCUACUUUUAAUCUUCCCAGACUUAAGUGGAGAAAGCCUAUUUGCAUUUACCUUAUUAAUACCCCUCAUAAUGUUCUAUACCUCUAUCCAAUCUGCUCUCAUCUUCUACGUUCCUAGGAAUAAACUACUGAAGUUAUUCACUUUCCUUGUAAAUCAGGUUCUCCAGACCCAACAACAUCUUUGUAAAUUUUCUGUACUCUUUCAACCUUGUUUACAUCUUUUCUGUAGGUAGGUCUCCAAAAAGUACCCACAAUACUCUGACCUUACUAACAUCUUAUACAACUUCAACACAACAUUCCAUCUCCUGUACUCAGCACUUUGAUUUACGAAUGCCAAUGUGCCAAAAGCUUUCUUUAGACACCUAUCUACCUGUGCCAUAACUUUCAAUAAAUUAUAGACCUCUGUUCCCAGAUCCUUCAGCUCUACUGCACUCAGACAGUAAGUGUCCUACCAUUCACCAUGUAAGAUCUACUCUGGUUGGUCCAACGGAAGUACAAUAUCUUGCAUUUGUCUGCAUUAAAUUCCAUCUGCCAUUAUUCAGCUCAUUUUACCAGCUGGUCCAGGUUCUGCUGCAAGUUCUGAUAGUCUUCCUUGCUGUCAACUAUAGUCCUAAUCUUAAUGUCAUCUGUGAAUUUGCUGAUUCAGUUGACCAAAUCAUUCAGAUCAUUGUUAUCAAUGACAAACAACAACAGAUUCAACUGCAAUCCCUGCGGUACUCUACUAGUCACAGGUCUCCAGUCAGAGAGGCAACCAUUCACUGCCACUCUCUGGCUUCUCCCUCAAAGCCAAUGUCUAAUCCAAUCUUGAACACCAAGUGAUUUUUUGACCAACCUCCCAUGCAAGACCUUGUCAAAUGCCUUGCUAAAAUCCAUGUGCAUGUAGACAACAUCUACUGCCUUGCCUUCAUCAAUGCAAGGUUGGUUAGACAUGACCAACCGCGCAUGAAGCCAUGCUGACCAUCGCUAGUCAGUCCAUGCCUAUCCAAAUAUUCAUAUUUGGUCCCUUAGAACACAUUCCAUUAACUUUUCCACUACUGAUGAAAGGCUUAUCGGCCGGCGAUUUCGGUUUAUUUUUAGAGCUUUUCUUAAACAGCAGAAAAACAUUAGCUAUCCUCCAAUCCUCUGUACUUCAUCUGUCAUUUUAGCAUGAUUUAAAUAUCUCUGCUAGGGCCCCUGUAAAUUGUGUACUUACCUCCCAGAGGGACCCAGGGAAUACCUUGUUCAGGCCCUGGGGAUUUAUCCACCUUCAUUUGCCUCAAGACAGCAAACUCUAAUCUUUGGAGCGUCUAUAACCUCGCUGCUGCUGUGCCUUACUUCUGUAGACUGUCCGUCACCUGAGUAAAUGCCAAUACAAAAAAUCUGUUUAAGAUCUCCCCCGUCUCUUGACUUCAUGCAUAAAUUACCAUUCUGAUCUUCCAGAGGACCAAAUUUGUCCCUUACAAACCUUUUGCUCUUAACAUAUCUGUACAAUCCCUUAGGAUUCUCCUUCACCUUGUCUACCAGUGCAACCUCAUACUUUCUUUUAUCCCUCCUGAUUUAUUUCUUAAGUGUUGUUAGAUUUUUUUGUACUCCAUAAGCACCUCACUUGCUUCUACCUGCCUCUAGCUGCUAUGUAUCACCUUUAUUUCCAUAACCAGAUUCCCUAAGCCCGUUAUCUUUCCUGUUUAUACUGACAGGCACAUUCAAGCUUUGUACCCUCAAUUUCACUUUUGAAGGCCUCCCACUUACCAAGUACACCUUUGCCAGAAAACACCCUGUCCCAAUCCACACUUACCAGAUUUAUUUCUUAUACCAUCAAAACUGGUCUUUCUCCAAUUUCAAAUCUCAACCAGCGGACCAGACCUAGACUUUUCCCAUAUUUGCUUUGAAACUAAUUGCAUUCUGAUCGCUGGAUGCAAAGCGUUCUGCAGCAUAAACCUCUGUCACCUGCCCUGUCUCAUUCCCCCAGAGCAGAUCAAGUAUUGCACCCUCUCACUGGGACUUCUAUGUGCUGGAGCUUUCCUGAACAUACUUGAGAAACACUAUCCCAUUUAGUCCUUUUACCAUAUGGGAGUCCCAAUUAAAAUCUUCUAUUAUAGCAACCUCAGAAAAUGCUGGAGGAACUCAGCAGGCCAGGCAGCAUCUAUGGUAAAGACCUGCUGAAGGGUCUUGGCUUGAAACAUUGACUGUACUCUUUUCCAUAGAUGCUGCCUGGCCUGCUGAAUUCCUCCAGCAUUUUGUGUGUGUUGCUUGGAUUUACAGCAUCUGCAGAUUUUCUCUUGUUUAUCAUAACAUUAUAUUUCUUGCAACAAUCUGUGAUCUCUCUACAAAUUUGUUCCUCUAAAUCCUGUGGACAGUUGUGUGGCCUAUGAUCUAGCCCCAUUACCGUGGCCAUACCUUCCUUAUUCCUCAGUUCCACCCAUAAAGCCUCACUAAAUUAGUUUUCCAGUCUGUCCUGUCUGAGCAUGACAUUUUCCCAGCCUAAUAACUUCAUCUUUAAUCCCUCACGCUCUAUCAUAUCUAUAACAACGGAACCCCAGAACUCUGAGCUGUCAGUCCUGAUCCUCCGCAGCCGAGUCUCACUAAUGGCUACAGUACCAUAAUUCCAUGUGUUGAUCUGUGCCCUGAGCUCAUCUGCCUUUCCGAAUAUACUUCUUACAAUGAAAUACACACAAUUCAGGAUAUUAGAUGCACCAUGCUCAGCGUUUUGAUUCCCAUCUUUUCUGUGGUCUUACCAACAUCUCUCUCCACUACCUCUCUACCGUGGUCUUACCAACAUCUCUCUCCACUACCUCUCUGCCAUCUGAUCUGGAACUAUGGUUCCCAUCCUCCUGCAACUCUACUCAAAACCCUUUGGUGCAGCACUAGCAAACCUUCCUAUUGGAUAUUAGUGCCCCUCCAGUUCAGGUGGAAACUGACUCUUUUGUUCACGUCCCACCUUCCCUAGACCAACGAUCCAAAAAUCUGACACUCUCCAAAAACCUACACCUACACUUGAGCCACGCAUUAAACUGUAUGAUCUUUCCAAUUUUUGACCUCACUAGCACGUAGCACAGGUAGCAAUCCUAAGAUCACAACCUUUGAGGACCUACCCUUUAACUUAGCACCAAACUCCCUGAACUGACUUAGUACCUCGUCACUCCUCCUACCUUCUGGGGCCACAACCUGUGGUUGAUCACCCUCUCACUUAAGAGUAUCAACCGGUUGAUCUGAGAUGUCCCAGACCCUGGUGCCCAAGAGGCAAUGUGCCAUUAGGAAUCUCAUUCGCAUCCACAGAGCCUCUGUUCUGUUCUCUUAGUGAAUCCCCUAUCACCACAGCUCACCUCUUCACUCACCUUUCCCCUGACUCAGAGACCUGACCGCUGACUUUCUUCUGCUAGGUCAUUACCCCUCUGCCCCUGCCCCCACCCCAAGCUGUAUCCAAAGUGGUAUACCUGUUGAGGAGGGUGCCCACACGGUUACUCUGCACUAGCUAUUUAACACCUUUCAGCCUCCUGACUGUCACCCAGUCUCCUGUGUCCUGCUCCUUGGGUGUAACUACCUCUGUGGUGUCCUAUCUGUCACUGUCUCAGCCUCCUGAAUAAUCCGGAGUUCAUCCAGUUUCAACUCGACGUGGAUUGUUAGAAGCUGCAGCUGGAUGCACUACUUGCACUUGUAGCUGCGUGAGACACCAGAGGUCUCCCUGCCUUUCCACAUCCCGCAAGAGGAGCACUCAACUAACAUCCUUGCUGUUCUAUCUAUGCAAAGACAAAGGAACGAAAAUAAUGAAUAAACUUGGGUGGGGGGGGGGGGGAAGAAUCUACCUACAGCUUUUCACUUUCUCUCAGUCAAACCUCAAAGAACUAAAGCCUCAAAAUCUGCACUUUAACACUGUUCACUUCAACAAUGACCGCCCCAAUAAAAGGUGCUCCACUCGCCUCUGCCUCAUCUUAAUUUUUUUCUGCUGAUCAAUCCCAAUUGCUGAUUGGCCACUGCUCAAAACACCUAACUGCCACAAAUUGAUGCCUUAUCUACUCAGUCAGUGAAAUGGAGUGAGCUACGUCAGCGGAGUUGCCCCAAAGGAUAUUAUACAAAUAUUAGAGAACACCUGGCAAAGAUAGUGCAGCCUAGCGCUGAGUCAGUAUAUCCCAUGUGAAUACACAACUCCUUUUCAAUGGCAAGAAUAAAGCAACUACCUUCAAAACUUAAGUGCCAGCUCUAACUACACGAUUAAUUCCAUCACAUCGGUCCUCUCUAAUUAGUGGCCCAAAUGGAGUGACAUAACUGUACUCAGUUUUAUAACUAUAUCCUCUAAUGAUAGCAGCUCAUGUAAAAGUUUCAACCAACUUUCCGAUUCAAGCUACUUUAGCUGUCACAAUAGAGAAACAGACUAGCAUGCUGUUGUAACCAGAACUAGUUCAACUUCAAGUUCAUUGUAAUCUGACAGUGCAUCCACAAAAAUAUAACACAGCACAGAAACCAAAAUAUUACCAUAAAUAAGCUGAUAAAUUCAAAAUGCAUGUAGUGUGCAGCACAAGUAAACAAUACAAUAAACAUUAAACAGCUCGCUGUUGUAGUGAUGAGACCUCGGUGAUGGCAGGGUAUUCAUUAGUCUCACAGUCUGAGGGCAGAAGCAGUUACCCAGUCUGGCAGCCCUAGUCCUGAUUCUCCUGUAGUUCCUUCCUUGUGGUAGUGGGCCAAAGAGAUUGUGUGAUUUGUAGUAGAGAUCUUCAUCAAUACUUUGGGCCCUUUUGGGGGUGGGGGUAGGGAGGAGGAGAGGAAGACCCUGACAAUCCUUUCAGGUGUCGUUACUGUCCUGUAAGAUUUGUGGUCUGAUGUCUUGCAGAUUCUGUACCACACAAUGACGUCACCAGUCAGGACACUCUCGAUGAGUGUCCUGUAGAGCUGCUAGAAUCAGGGAGGGGAGCCUUGCAUGCCUCAAUCUCCUCAGGAAGUUUAUACACCACUGCUUUCUUGACUAGUUAGGAGAUGUUGUGGGACCAGGUUAGAUUGUCUGUUAUGUGCACACCAAGGAACUUUGUGCUCUUCACUCUCUCCAUGGCAGCAUGGCAGAUCCAUUUGAUGUGCAAAGGAGUGAUUGACCUGCACCUCCCCAAAAUCCACAAUCAUCUCUUUUGUCGUGAGACGCUGAGACUCGGAUUGUCAUCCUCGCAGCGUUUGACAAGUCUCACUACCUUCUCUCAGUAUACCAACUCUCAUGAGGCCAACCAUGAUCAUCAGCCAAUUUGAUGAACUCAUACAUCAGCUGAAUUUGAGCUGAACCUGCCAGUGCAGCAAGAACAGCAGUGGGCUGGGCACACAGCUCUGGGGGGGGUGGGGGGAAGGCGGUGUGGAGGCACCGGUGCUCAGCGUGAUGGAGCUUGCGAUGUUGCUGCCAACUCAGACUGACUGGGGACUUUCCAUCAAGAAGUCCAAGUCCCAGUUACAGAGAAGUGUGCCGAGUCCCAGUGAGGACAGUUUUCCCACCAGCUUCUGAGGGACGAUUGUGUUCAACACCAAGCAGAAGUUGACGAACGAUAUCCUGGCAUGAGGGCAACAACGAGUGAAUCUGCAGAUGCUGGAAAUAAAUUUUAAAAACCACACGAAAUGCUGGCAGAACUCAGCAGGCCAGACAGCAUCUAUGGGAGGAGGUGGAAACGUCAUUAUUACCUCCUCCCAUAGAUGCUGUCUGGCCUGCUGAGUUCUGCCAGCAUUUUGUGUUUUUUUUUUAUCCUGGUAUGAGGCAUCAUUUUCUAGAAGGGACAGGACUGAGCGGACGUCCAAGGCUGUGGCACCAUCAGUGGACCAGUUUGAGCGGAAGGCAAACUGCAAAGGAUCUCCUGUAGCCAGAAGAUGGGAUUUUAUAUUUUAUUACAAGCCGCUCAAAGCACUUAAUAAUUCUUGAAGUCAGUGCCACUGGCUGGUAAUCGUUUAGUGUAGUUACCAUUGCUCUCUUGGGCACCAGAACGAUAGUGGCCGCCUCAAAGCCUGCAAAGACAAUGGACUACUGUAUUUCAGAUAGAUAAUAAAGAUGUCCAUUAAGAUCUGUUACCUAGGCCACACAGCCCCUCAACACUUGACCAGGUAUAUCAUUUGACUCCACAGCUUUGCACAGGUUUACCCUGGCUAGGAUCUUGCUCACCUUGGCUGUGGCCAGACAGGGUGCCUGUUCCUCAGAGGGAGAGAAUGCUUUCCUCAAUGUCACAUCAUUCAAUGUGUCAAAUCAUGUAUGGAAGGCAUUCAGCCUAUCAGGAAGGGAGACAUCCCUGUCAUUGACACACAGGGCGGACUUGUAAUCAGAUAAUAGUUGGUAUAGCUUGCCAGAUGGUGUCACGAAGGUGUCUGACAAUGUUCUGUGUGUACUUUUGCUUUCCCUUCCGCACGGCACGGGAGAGCGCUGCUCGUGCUGACUUUAGAGUCAGUCUGUCCCCCGAUAUGAAGGCCGCAUCCCGAUCCCCAAGCAGUAUACGGACCUGUGCAGUCAGCCACGGUUUCUGCUUUGUACUGACAGUGUUGUUUAAUCACAAUAACGUCCUCAAUGCACUUUUCCUAUGUAGCCCAUCACCGAUCUCACAUAUUCCUCAGUGUUGACGUGAUGAUCAUAAGCAGCCGCCUCCCUGAAUAUGCUCCAGUCCAUGCUUUAGUUGCAAUCCGGCACGCUGAGCUGGCAUCUUCUGGCCAGGUCCUGAUCUCUGAGCUGGUGUGAGUAUCCAAAGUGGGGAAGGGGGCAGCCUUGUAGGCUCCAUGAAUGUUGGUAUAAACCAGGUCCAGUGUAUUCUCUCCUCUAGUUGCGAAGUUUUCAUGCUGGUAGAAUGGUUUUUAAGUUGGCCUGACUGAAGUCAUCAAUAACAACGAAGGUGCCAUUGGGUGAAAGGCUUUGAGUUUGCAGAUGGGGCUGGAGAGAUCCUGCUAGCACAGGUGGCGGGGUCGGUGGGGGGGUGUAGGUAUAAACAGCAAUGAUCACAAUGCCAGUGAAUUCCUACAGCAAGUAGAAUGGCCUACAUUUCACUAUUCAAACCACUAUCUGCAGUGAGCCUCAGGCCGUUAUUGCCGAGGCAUUCACACACCAGUUCAUAUUGAUGUAGACGCUCAGAUCUCCUCUGCAGGCCCUGCCAGAAGGUACAGCAUUUUACUUUGCCUGAAAGGAAAUUAGACCAUCUAGCUGGAUGGCUGAGUCUGGAAUGGUGUCCUAGAGCCGUGUUUCCGUCAGAGCAAGUGUCCACCAGUCCCUCACUUCUCGUUGAUUCAGAUGCAGAUGCAGGUAAUCCAGCUUAUUCUCUGGCAAUCGAACAUUAAUGAGUAGAAGAGUUGAAAGUGUGGGCCUGUAGGGAUCCACUUUAGGUUUUGAUUGAAUAGUGAUGCACUUACCACAUUUCCACAAUCAAUGGAACAGCUUACCAGAGUAGCUGUAGUAGACUGCAGAGUAGAGCAAGGGCCCACUCUUCAUGUUAGUUAGUAACCUUUGUUAUUCUGUACACUAGUGAGGUAGACUCAGAUUUUAGUGUCCUCUAUGUUCAGUGGUGCUUUCUGCUCAUAGAAAAGAUGAACAGCACAAGAAAUGUCACUGUUGAAUGGAGCUGGAAUGGCCGCUGCAACUAUCACAAUCUGCUGUAGAGACCUCCGUGACUCAACAUACUGUUCCAAAGAGACCAGUGACGCUAAGCAUCCGUGAAAUCACUGGUUUUUGAAUGCCAUCGAGAUCAGAGCAAGAAGGGUGCCAAAUGUAGUUUUAAAAAUCAGUUGUCCACAAUGUAAAAACCAUUAAUGAUAGCAAGUUCAUUUUUCCAAAUUAAGUCUCUUCUAUACAAUAUGUUUUGAGUAUAUAAAAUCAGGUUCCAGAAAUUGCUUUUAUAUCCUCUGCUGAAGAUUUGUUUGGAUGUUACCCUGAGGCAAUAGCAGUAGCUGUGGCUCUUGUAAAAGACUAAUCUUUAAUUUGAUUCUUCAGCUUCCUCUAUAGCCAUUUUUUCUUCCUUGUCCUACUUCCAUGUAAUCCUCAACUAAGCUCCACAGAAAGCCCUUGUGACUAAUAUAUAGAUUUUUUUCUCCAAAACUAAAUAAAAGGCAGCUGAAAAAUCCCUUCCUAAUGGAAAAUCUAAGUCAAAAUGUUAUCAAUUGUUCCAGUCAAAGUGAUUGUUUCAGGUAGAGUUUGUGGAAUUAUGAAGCCAGUGAGGUUCCUUUCCAAAUCAAUGUACCAGACAGAUAAUGUAUCUGUAACCUUUACUUGAGAUAGGUGCAAUUCUGGUUGAAAUAUUCAUACUUACCCUCAUUCUCUUUUAAAUUCGCUGCAUUUGUUACUUGGGAUAGAGGAAUCAGAACCAUUGUGUGCCUCUUCCUUAUCACCAUUCUCUUAAUUUGGCAUUUGUUUGAGAAAUGCAUAAUUGGGACAUGGGUUAUUCCCUAAAUUUUGUAUUUCUCUACAGGAAGCACCCAACCAUUACUGGUAGAACAGUACAGAACUUUAGACCCUAUAUCUCAGAAUGAAUGCCAAAGGUUCAAAGCAAAUAAGAGUUAACUUAAGACAUUCUCAAUAAAGUGAUAAUUCUCUGUAAGAAAUGCAAAGGGUAAACAGAAAGUCAUGUUUAACAGAAUAUUUGAGGCGAGUACAUCUAUGACUUUAUUCAGAUGGGUGGCUUAUUGACUUAAUUCUUGAUUUAAAAGUACUCUGGAGACUAAAUUCAUAUAUACACUUGACGUUUAUUGUUAAAAGAAUAAUUACUAGUGUCAUAGGAUAAUGCAUCAUUGAGCACUUUAAAUUGCAAUUUCUCAAAUUCAUAUUUGUAAAACAAACCUUUUAAGCAAAAAGCUUUUGAAAUGCUUGCAGAAUUGACAAUAACAAAUUUCACACUUCAUGACUGAGCAGAUUUAUGGCUUAUUAUAUUUCUUCAAUAAUAAUGACAGUUAAUUGCUAUUACGUUCUCUAUAAUGCAUUCUUAAGGAAGUAAUUUUAAAUAUUACUCCUCUUAAGAAAUUCUGCAGCUGGAAGCUUAUGAAUGCCAUUAAAGAUAUCUAUUAUAAUAAAACCAUACAAAAUUUGACUUCAUAUCAUAGAGAUACCAUAUGUAGUUAGUUAUUUGAAAUAUUAUGUAAAAGCAUGUCAGUUAGAAAUUCUAGAUCUGAUCCUGUUUUGAGUUCAGGAUUAACAGUGUGUCCUGUAACAUUUUAUGUCAAUUCACCUUAUUUUCAACAAGUGCAGAAAAAAUUCUCAAAGCAUGAAAUCUAUUACAAACAGUUAUAUCAAAAUAUUAAUGGCAGGCCAGAAAAAGUAUUUCAAGGAUAUUCUUAAAGUCUCCUUAAAAUGUAUAACAUCUUUACUGAUUGAUGGAAGUCCCUGGUGUUGACUGGUUAAACUAGAGGGGAACAUUUAGAAAGGUGUAGAUCACCUCAGUGUCCGGAACAAGAGAACAGGGAGGUCAUGUGUAAAAUGCAGAAACAAUUUAACACCACCCAUCAACCAUCACCUUCCCUGCCUGUGGGUGAGGCUGCACAUAACAGAUAGGGCUCUUCAUCUGCUUCAGAAUCCAUGAAAUGGAGAUAAAGCAAAUGGUCCUCAACUCUGAGUGAUCGAACAGCACAGCAGAGGAACAGGCCAUUCAGCCCACUAUGUUGUGUCAAACCAAUUAGUAACCUCUUCUGCCUACAAUGUCUAUAUCCUUCCAUUUUCUUCACAUUCAUGUGCUUAUCUAAACACCUCUUAAAAAUCCCUACUAUAUCUGCUCUACCACCACCCUGGGCAGCACAUUCUAGAUACCCACCGCUCACUGUAUAAAAUAACUUGUUUCUCACAUCUCCUUUGAACUUACCCCUUUUACCUUAAGUGCAUGCCCUCUGGUAUUAGACAUUUCAACUCUGGGACAAAGAUGGUGGCUGUCUACUCUAUCCAUGCCUUUCGCAAUCUUAUAAACCUUGAUCAGAUCUUGCCUCAGCUUCUGCUGCUCUAGAGAAAGCAACCCUAGGUUGCCCAGCUUCUCAUUGUAGCACAUGCCCUCUAAUCCAGGCUGCCCCCUGGUAAACCUCUCUGCACCCUCUCCAAACCUUCAAUAUUCUUUUAGGACAACCAGAACUGUAUGCAAUACUGCAGAUACAGCCUCACUAGAGUUUUAUAAAACUGCCACAUAACUUCCUGACUUCUGAACUCAAUGCCUCCUCUAAUAAAGGCAGGCAUGCUUCAUGCUUUCUUAACCUUUGUAGCUACUUCAGAGAGCUACGAACCUGGACCCCAAGAUCACUCAACUUAUCAACACUGUUAAGGGUGUUGCCCUUAACAAUCUACUGUCUCUGAACAUUUGAAUCUAAGAAGAAAGUCUUACUAUCAAUGUCUGGGCCAGUGAUGGUAGACAUAACAAUGAAGAUCUUUAACAAUUGUGUGUAUCUAUAUAUCCCAAUUUUAUUGAAAAUUAGGAAUUAAGAAUAAAUAAUUUUCAUCAACAAAAUUAAGUGUGUGUUCAUGUAAACCUCAAUUCAUUUUAAAUUGUAUUGGCAAGUUUACC